GCCUACGGGAGGCAGCAGGAGGAAUAUUGGACAGUGGGCGAAAGCCUGAUCCAGCAAUGCCGCGUGAGUGAUGAAGGCCUUAGGGUUGUAAAGCUCUUUUAGUAGGGAUGAUAAUGACAGUACCUACAGAAAAAGCCCCGGCUAACUCCGUGCCAGCAGCCGCGGUAAU
RNAcentral lists this ribosomal RNA (169 nucleotides) under uncultured bacterium. RNAcentral describes it as "partial 16S ribosomal RNA". It matches the Rfam family "Bacterial small subunit ribosomal RNA", at positions 337 to 524 of the family's 1533-position model. The record is from RNAcentral.